GAGUCACUUUCUUCAUAAGAAUUCGGGGCUUUUGCAUUAGGUAGAUGGUAGAAUUUUUAGUUAAAUUAAAGAAUAGAUCAGUUUUUGGGUUUCUGUCAAUCAUGUUUACGGUACUGAAGCUGUGUUUAAGUCACAUAUUGAGGGAUUGACUUAUAACUGUGAUGGAAUAUAUUUAGAUACUUGUUUGAUAAGAAUUUGGGGUUUUUGUAUUACGGUAUUGUGCCUGCAUUUUCUUCAUUUAGUACAAUGUUCCCUUAGUAAAGUCAUAGGUUAUUGUUUUAAAUCAGAGUAAUGAAUAAACUCUAAGGAAAUGGUUGUUUGUUCAUGAAAAACGCUUGAAAUUAUGAGAAAUUGGGAAAUCUGGGAAGUUUUUUCAUAAACCUUGGAAGGAGGAGCAUACGGUCCCUGAUAUUCCACUUUGUAGUUGUACAAUCAUUUCUACAUUCAACUGCAUGAAGUUGUCUUGAAUGAGGAACAAAACUAAACUGACAUUAACUUCUUCUGAUUUUUUUUUUUUUUUGCUAUUUCUUUUUUUCCUUUUUGGCUUUCUUUAUCAUGUUCAACUACUCAUAGUCCAACGUUAUUGCUGUCUUUCUUUAGAGUGCAACUUUAUUAUUAGAAUUUUUUAUUGAUAGACAUGUUUUUUGAAAUCCUGUUGAUAGACAUUUAUGGAAGCUGAUGUAGACCAAGAUGGCAGCAUAGAUAAAUCUGAAUGGCAAAAUUUUGUCUCUAAAAACCCGUCAUUGUUAAAGAUCAUGACCCUCCCAUACUUGAGGGAUAUUACAACUACUUUUCCAAGUUUUGUUUUUAAUUCAGAAGUUGACGACAUUGCUACAUAACUGAAACAGGAUCAGCUUAGAAAUUUAGUGUGUUAUCUUCCCCUUUUUGAUUUUUGAAAAUUAACUGCAGCAGAAGGGAACUGUGGUUUGAUGUAUGACUGAGUACAAGCUUUAUUGAAAUACUCAGCUGAAUGUUAAGCUUUCUGAUGGAAGCAAUAUAUAAUUUGUGUAGUUAAUUCCCAAA
Molecule: long non-coding RNA, 1023 nt
Organism: Mangifera indica (mango)
Lineage: Eukaryota; Viridiplantae; Streptophyta; Magnoliopsida; Sapindales; Anacardiaceae
Exons: 2
Source: RefSeq, a predicted model, not a curated record